GGGUACGCGCCGUUUACGACUCUAGUCGCUCCCCAUUCCACCACGGUGUGUCGUGCCGACAGCGGCGGUGGGGGGCAGACCGUCGCAUGCGAUCGGUUGCAUCGGCGGUUGCAUGAUGCAGGAAAACGCGCAAACUUCAAUUUUGAUAUCUGCAUGCAUAUUACUAUUGCACAUACAAUUAUAGAUGAAAUCUAUUUAAACCACUGAUUUGCACGUUUACAAAAGCAAGCUACAGUGUGAAACAAAAAGGCCCGUAUUAGCAUAUUGCGUGCAUCUAGAAUGCACACCGAUAACUACAUCUGCCACAACAACUUAUAUUUGCAGUAUACUAUCUGAGUCCGUGCGUAUAAAUAUAUAUACAUCCACAUCCGACAAAUUUCCGUAAGCAAUUGCCAUGAAGGUGUGUGCGUUUUUCAGCGCUUUUUGCCCGGGUAGCACAGCAGCGCUCACAAUGCAAGUGUCGGGCAACCUGUGCGUGUACGUUGUUGGGUGCACGCACAUCGUCCAUCCAUCUCCGGCGUCGUUGACUGUCAAUCGGCAGAAAGCUCGUCCAGGCAAUAUGACGGCAUGCGACGGCAGGAUGUGGGCUAAAUGACCUCUGUUGUUUUUGUUUGAGAGACGUAUAUAAUUAAUUUGCGUUUGCGUUACGACUCUAUUUGGAGUAAUAUAUUUUAUACAUGGCUGUGGUGUAAAGUCAA
Molecule: long non-coding RNA, 698 nt
Organism: Dalotia coriaria
Lineage: Eukaryota; Metazoa; Arthropoda; Insecta; Coleoptera; Staphylinidae
Exons: 3
Source: RefSeq, a predicted model, not a curated record